UACGUAGGUGGCAAGCGUUACCCGGAUUUACUGGGUGUAAAGGGCGUGUAGGCGGGAAAGCAAGUCAGAUGUGAAAACCAUGGGCUCAACCUGUGGCCUGCAUUUGAAACUGUUUUUCUUGAGUACUGGAGAGGCAGACGGAAUUCCUAGUGUAGCGGUGAAAUGCGUAGAUAUUAGGAGGAACACCAGUGGCGAAGGCGGUCUGCUGGACAGCAACUGACGCUGAGGCGCGAAAGCGUGGGGAGCAAACAGG
RNAcentral lists this ribosomal RNA (253 nucleotides) under uncultured bacterium. RNAcentral's name for it is "partial 16S ribosomal RNA". It matches the Rfam family "Bacterial small subunit ribosomal RNA", at positions 524 to 776 of the family's 1533-position model. The record is from RNAcentral.